GAUGAACGCUAGCGAUAGGCUUAACACAUGCAAGUCGAGGGGCAGCAUGAUCUUAGCUUGCUAAGGUUGAUGGCGACCGGCGCACGGGUGCGUAACGCGUAUGCAACUUGCCUUACAGAGGGGGAUAACCCGUUGAAAGACGGACUAAAACCGCAUACACUUGUAUUAUUGCAUGAUAUUACAAGGAAAUAUUUAUAGCUGUAAGAUAGGCAUGCGUCCCAUUAGCUGGUUGGUGAGGUAACGGCUCACCAAGGCGACGAUGGGUAGGGGAACUGAGAGGUUUAUCCCCCACACUGGUACUGAGACACGGACCAGACUCCUACGGGAGGCAGCAGUGAGGAAUAUUGGUCAAUGGGCGAGAGCCUGAACCAGCCAAGUCGCGUGAAGGAAGACAGUCCUAAGGAUUGUAAACUUCUUUUAUACGGGAAUAACGGGCGAUACGAGUAUUGCAUUGAAUGUACCGUAAGAAUAAGCAUCGGCUAACUCCGUGCCAGCAGCCGCGGUAAUACGGAGGAUGCGAGCGUUAUCCGGAUUUAUUGGGUUUAAAGGGUGCGUAGGUUGUUCGGUAAGUCAGCGGUGAAACCUGAACGCUCAACGUUCAGCCUGCCGUUGAAACUGCCGGGCUUGAGUUCAGUGGCGGCAGGCGGAAUUCGUGGUGUAGCGGUGAAAUGCAUAGAUAUCACGAGGAACUCCGAUUGCGAAGGCAGCUUGCCAUACUGCGACUGACACUGAAGCACGAAGGCGUGGGUAUCAAACAGG
Molecule: ribosomal RNA, 759 nt
Filed under: uncultured Porphyromonas sp.
Lineage: Bacteria; Pseudomonadati; Bacteroidota; Bacteroidia; Bacteroidales; Porphyromonadaceae
Description: bacterial SSU rRNA
Rfam family: Bacterial small subunit ribosomal RNA
Source: RNAcentral